GUGGGGAAUUUUGGACAAUGGGCGCAAGCCUGAUCCAGCAAUGCCGCGUGCAGGAAGAAGGCCUUCGGGUUGUAAACUGCUUUUGUACGGAACGAAACGGUCCGGGUUAAUACCCUGGGCUAAUGACGGUACCGUAAGAAUAAGCACCGGCUAACUACGUGCCAGCAGCCGCGGUAAUACGUAGGGUGCAAGCGUUAAUCGGAAUUACUGGGCGUAAAGCGUGCGCAGGCGGUUUUGUAAGACAGUGGUGAAAUCCCCGGGCUCAACCUGGGAACUGCCAUUGUGACUGCAAGGCUAGAGUGCGGCAGAGGGGGAUGGAAUUCCGCGUGUAGCAGUGAAAUGCGUAGAUAUGCGGAGGAACACCGAUGGCGAAGGCAAUCCCCUGGGCCUGCACUGACGCUCAUGCACGAAAGCGUGGGGAGCAAACAGGAUUAGAAACCCGAGUAGUCC
RNAcentral lists this ribosomal RNA (450 nucleotides) under uncultured bacterium. Its description in RNAcentral is "partial 16S ribosomal RNA". It matches the Rfam family "Bacterial small subunit ribosomal RNA", at positions 354 to 796 of the family's 1533-position model. The record is from RNAcentral.